This 133-nucleotide small nucleolar RNA is filed under the name Leersia perrieri. RNAcentral's name for it is "Small nucleolar RNA Z247". It matches the Rfam family "Small nucleolar RNA Z247". Rfam says of the family: Z247 is a member of the C/D class of snoRNA which contain the C (UGAUGA) and D (CUGA) box motifs. Most of the members of the box C/D family function in directing site-specific 2'-O-methylation of substrate RNAs. The record is from Rfam by way of RNAcentral. Lineage: Eukaryota; Viridiplantae; Streptophyta; Magnoliopsida; Poales; Poaceae.
CCACUUGAUGGUGAAGAGCUGCUGUCAUACAUCCUCGUAGGUACAUCGGCUACAACACUCUUGUGCCUUUUGUUGUUGAUUGUACUGAUCCUAUUUUUUUGAGUGAUUUAUGCCCAACUAAUCAGCUCCAAGA